Molecule: ribosomal RNA, 398 nt
Filed under: uncultured soil bacterium
Lineage: Bacteria
Description: bacterial SSU rRNA
Rfam family: Bacterial small subunit ribosomal RNA
Source: RNAcentral
AGAACGAACGCUGGCGGCAUGCCUAACACAUGCAAGUCGAACGAGACCUUCGGGUCUAGUGGCGCACGGGUGCGUAACGCGUGGGAAUCUGCCCUUGGGUUCGGAAUAACAGCGAGAAAUUGCUGCUAAUACCGGAUGAUGACGUAAGUCCAAAGAUUUAUCGCCCAAGGAUGAGCCCGCGUAGGAUUAGCUUGUUGGUGAGGUAAGAGCUCACCAAGGCGACGAUCCUUAGCUGGUCUGAGAGGAUGAUCAGCCACACUGGGACUGAGACACGGCCCAGACCUCCGUACGGGAGGCAGCGAGGUGGGGAAUAGUUGGACAAGUGGGACGAAAGCCGUAGAGUCCAGACAAGUCGCCGCGGUGAGUGAGUAGAACGGGUCCGUUAAGGGUUACGUAAA